Molecule: ribosomal RNA, 253 nt
Filed under: uncultured bacterium
Lineage: Bacteria
Description: partial 16S ribosomal RNA
Rfam family: Bacterial small subunit ribosomal RNA
Source: RNAcentral
UACAGAGGGGGCAAGCGUUAUUCGGAAUUAUUGGGCGUCAAGGGCGCGUAGGCGGCCUGGCAAGUGGAAGGUGAAAUCCCUCGGCUUAACCGAGGAACUGCCCUCCAAACUGCUUGGCUUGAGUCCGGGAGAGGUGAGUGGAAUUCCCAGUGUAGCGGUGAAAUGCGUAGAUAUUGGGAGGAACACCAGUGGCGAAGGCGGCUCACUGGACCGGAACUGACGCUGAGGCGCGAAAGCGUGGGGAGCAAACGGG